This 90-nucleotide ribosomal RNA is filed under the name Ailuropoda melanoleuca (giant panda). Lineage: Eukaryota; Metazoa; Chordata; Mammalia; Carnivora; Ursidae. The record is from RNAcentral.
GUCUAUGGCCAUACCACCCUGAGUGCCUGAUCUCGUCUCAUCUCAGAAGCUAAGCAGGGUUGGGCCUAGUUAGUCCUUGGAUGGGAGACC